Molecule: unclassified non-coding RNA, 358 nt
Filed under: soil metagenome
Description: partial contains 5.8S ribosomal RNA, internal transcribed spacer 2, and large subunit ribosomal RNA
Rfam family: 5.8S ribosomal RNA (bases 1-120)
Source: RNAcentral
GAUGAAGAACGUAGCGAAAUGCGAUAAGUAAUGUGAAUUGCAGAAUUCAGUGAAUCAUCGAAUCUUUGAACGCACAUUGCGCCCGCCAGUAUUCUGGCGGGCAUGCCUGUCCGAGCGUCAUUUCAACCCUCGAACCCCACCGGGGGGUCGGCGUUGGGGACCUCGGGAGCCCCUAAGACGGGAUCCCGGCCCCGAAAUACAGUGGCGGUCUCGCCGCAGCCUCUCCUGCGCAGUAGUUUGCACAACUCGCACCGGGAGCGCGGCGCGUCCACGUCCGUAAAACACCCAACUUCUGAAAUGUUGACCUCGGAUCAGGUAGGAAUACCCGCUGAACUUAAGCAUAUCAAUAAGCGGAGGA